ACCCGCACAAGCAGCGGAGCGUGUGGUUAAUUCGAGGCUACACGAAGAACCUUACCAGGGUUUGACAUGCAAGUGGUAGGAAUCCGAAAGGUGACCGACCCUUCGGGGAGCUUGCACAGGUGCUGCAUGGCUGUCGUCAGCUCGUGUCGUGAGAUGUUCGGUUAAGUCCGCUAACGAGCGCAACCCUCGUCGUGUGUUAUACGUGUCACACGAUACUGCCGGUAUCAAGCCGGAGGAAGGUGGGGAUGAUGUCAAGUCAGCAUGGCCUUUAUAUCCUGGGCUACACACACGCUACAAUGGCAGAUACAAUAGGUUGCGAAACCGCGAGGUGGAGCCAAUCCUCAAAGUCUGUCUCAGUUCAGAUUGUAGGCUGCAACUCGCCUGCAUGAAGUUGGAGUUGCUAGUAAACGCAGGUCAGCUAUACUGCGUUGAAUACGUUCCCGGGGUUU
This 449-nucleotide ribosomal RNA is filed under the name uncultured Leptolinea sp. RNAcentral's name for it is "bacterial SSU rRNA". It matches the Rfam family "Bacterial small subunit ribosomal RNA", at positions 920 to 1378 of the family's 1533-position model. Lineage: Bacteria; Bacillati; Chloroflexota; Anaerolineae; Anaerolineales; Anaerolineaceae. The record is from RNAcentral.